Molecule: transfer RNA, 72 nt
Filed under: Bos taurus (domestic cattle)
Lineage: Eukaryota; Metazoa; Chordata; Mammalia; Artiodactyla; Bovidae
Also listed under: 4 other names
Rfam family: tRNA
About the family: Transfer RNA (tRNA) molecules are approximately 80 nucleotides in length.
Source: Rfam by way of RNAcentral
UCCCUGGUGGUCCAGUGGUUAAGACUCUGCCUUUCAAUGCAAGGGACGAAGGUUCGAUUCCUGGUCAGGGAA